RNAcentral lists this long non-coding RNA (3220 nucleotides) under Sus scrofa (pig). RNAcentral describes it as "lncRNA (ENSSSCG00055006646.1)". Lineage: Eukaryota; Metazoa; Chordata; Mammalia; Artiodactyla; Suidae. The record is from RNAcentral.
AUCUUUUUAGGCCACCCAUGGCAUAUGGAGGUUCCCAAGCUAGGGGUCUAAUGGGAGCUAAAAGGCAGAAACACACACACACACACAAAAACAAACAAAAGAAACCAAUUUCAAAUUGUAGGAAACACUGUGUGCAGGAAGUGAAUCUAAUUUAUUUGUUUAAAUUGUUAUUAUAGCACCUGCCAUGCAACAGGGGCUUGUUUGGCCCAUUUAUACAUUUAUCCAUCAAAUAUCGAUCUAGUGCACUCACUGCAUGUCAGGCAAUGAACCAGCUACUGAGGAUAUAACAGUGAAUAAUAUCCUAAAGGUCCUGCUAUCACUGAACUUACUUUCAAUAAGAAAUGACAAACAAACAAACAAAAAAUCCUAAAUAAGAUAAAUAGAUUUAUAAGAUAAAUUUCUUAUGAAUAUAUUUAUAUAUACACAGGGUAAUUUCAAAGAAGAUCAUUUCAGAUGGCUGUAAGCGAUAUAAAGGAAUUAAAAAGAAAAAUGAUACAAGAAGAAAUAAGUAAAAGGGGCAGACAUGGAUGGAUGAUCAGAGAAGAUUGACACUGAAGAAGCAAUGUUUGAACUGAGAUCUAAGGGCCAAGAUAAAACCCACCACAGGAGAAUACAUGGUAGAGAAAGGUAAGGCUGAUGAGGGAUUCCUGAAAGUCUAGAGGGACAGAGGGAUAAAAGUGAGUAAGGGUCACCUAGGACCUCAGAGGCCAUGAUCAAGUGUUGAGGUUUUAUUCUGAGUGACAUGAGAAGCUGGAGGAUUUUGAACAGCAGAAUGCUAAACAGUAACCUAUGUUUCUAAAAGAUUCAUCAAGAGCUCCCAUCAUGGCUCAGCAGGAAUGAAUCUGACUAGCUUCCAUGAGGACGCAGGUUCAACCCCUGGCCUCACUCAGUGGGCUAAAUGAUCUAGUGUUGCCAUUAGCUGGGAUGUAGGUCACAUAUGCGGCUUGGAUCUGGCAUUGCUGUGGCUAUGGUGUAGGCCAGCAGCUACAGCUCCUGAUUCGACCCCUAGCCUGGGAACCUCCAUGUGCCAUGAGUAUGGCCCUAAAAAGACAAAAAAAUAAAAGGUUUCUUUCCUUAAAAAAGACACAUGCACCUACAUGUUCACUGCAGCCCUAUCCACAAUCGCCAAGACAUGAAAACAACCCAACUGUCCAUCAACAGAUGACUGGAUUGGGAAGAUGUGGUAUAUAUACAUAAUGGAAUACUACUCGGCCAUAAAAAAGAAUGAAAUAAUGCCAUUUGCAGCAACAUGGAUGGAACUAGAGACUCUCGUCCUGAGUGAAGUAAGUCAGAAAGAGAAAGACACCCAUAUGAUAUCACUUAUAUCUGGAAUCUAAGGUAAGGCACAAAUGAACCUUUCCACAGAAAAGAAAAUCAUGGAUUUUCCUAAUAGACUUGUGGUUGCCAAGGGGAAGGGGGAGGGAGUGGGUGGUUGGGGAGCUUGGGGUUAAUAGAUACAAACUAUUGCCUUUGGAAUGUAUAAGCAAUGAGAUCCUGCUGUGAAGCACUGAGAAUGAUGUCUGGUCACUUAUGAUGAAACAUGAUAAUGUACGAAAAUAGAAUGUGUACAUGUAUGUAUAACUGGGUCACCAUGCUGUACAGGAGAAAAAAUUGUGGGGAAAUAACUAUUAAAAUAAUAAUAAUAAUAAAAUGAAAGGUUCGUCAUAUUGCCUGACAUAUGCAGAAUGACAAAACUAUCACCACAAUGAAAACUAGUGAAUCCUGUGUCCCCACCUCAUUGUUUAUGUCAUCAAUUACAUUUCUAGGACUAUUAAAAGAGGCAAAAGCACACAAUGAAAGCACUGUGAAAGCAGUGUCAGUAGAUCAAUGAAGCCAAAUAGCUACUGGAUUUGGGUCCCUACCUCUGUUCAAGGACAGAGACAAGGCUGAUCUAUAAGGAAACACAGCACACUUUGCACAUGCUCCAAAUGUAUGUGGGGGAGUCACAUCAGCAAGCUACCAGAAUAAGAGAUACCAAUCUCUGUCCCCUCACUCACCCCAUAAAAUUAUGUAGCUACUCAUGAACAGAAGUAGUCCUUAGAGGGCCCAAGAAUCCAAUUAAGAAAAGAGUGAAGCAAGAAAAAAAAGAAAGGAAGGAAGGAAGAAAGAAAGAGAACGAAAAAGAAAAUAGUGGGAGCUUUCAGCAUCAAACAGAAAACUGGUGCCAUCAUGGUCCCCAGUGGCAUGCUCUGCAAAAGAUACUGGCAGCCUUUAAAGAUAAAGACUUCAACAGCCUCCAGAAUAGCAGCAGAUCCCCAGAGAGAGGCCCUGAUAUUCACCUUCCAGAAGGAGCUGCUGCUGUAUUUUCCCAGAAACAGGUGAAACUGCCUUCCAUCACACCACCACACAUGCCUCAAACUCUGCAAAGUUCCAUAUGGACCCACACUUCAAACCCAAGCUCCACAGGCAGUCCGUGUGUAUCUGCAUCUAAGGCACCAGAGCUGCCACUGCCCUGUGACAGCCAGAACCCCAGACCCUGGAAGUGCAGUGGCUCAAAAAGCAUCUGCACUCCAGAAUCUGCAUCCAUGGCUGCUCCAUGGAAAUCUGCACAUCAGACACUAGUAGCAUGGCUGCCAAAAACUCACCUGCAAGCUGAACCCGGCACAAAGAGGGUCCACUCAGCCACAACAACCCCAAGAAGAAAAAAGAGAUAAGGAGAUCCUCAGAAGUCUUCACCACUGAAGACCCCAAAAGACCUCACUGCCGCUGGGACACUCCCAAGCUUGGCCAAUGAGGCCUAUUGUUCUCUCCCCCAAUGCUUGCCUGGCUGAUAAGGCCUCAAAGAAAUUAUACCACUGGGCUUUUCCCGGAGCCAGAACUACCACAUCCCUACCCAGAAAGUUGCCCUUGUACCUUCCCACAGGUCAAAAUACUUCCCUAUUAAAACCAAUCCGUAAGGAUAGAAAAGGCGACUGUUCCAUCAAAUAUACAAAAAGUAACCUAUUUCUGCUUGUGACAAAAAACACAAAAUAUACACACUCACACAAAAAUCAAGGAAACAUAACUAUCAAAGGCACACAAUAAGAUCCCAAUAACUGACACCCUCAAAAUGAUGAUCUACAAAUUGCAGAGAAUUAAAAACAUUUACUGAAAGGAAGCUCAAUGACUUAGAAGAGAACAUACAUAGAUGACUCAAUAAAAUUAGAAAAAAAUAUAGAAACAAAAUGAGAAGUUCAAUAGAAAUAAGCAUUAAAAAAAAACCAAUAGAGAGCAGCAACAG